Pelobates cultripes (western spadefoot toad) is the source of this 218-nucleotide non-coding RNA. Lineage: Eukaryota; Metazoa; Chordata; Amphibia; Anura; Pelobatidae. The record is from the annotation of a GenBank genome assembly.
GUUAAGAUGAGUUUCUUGCAAAAAAACUAUGUCCGCCUGCUUUCUCUUUAAUUCCUUAAACAUUAUCUUCCUUUUAGCAGGUGAAUUAAGGCCUUUUACAUUUAAGGAAAUUAUCUUCUCAUCCAUCAUAAUUCAACACCAAUACAAGCAGAGUAGAACUGAGGACAGGAGAUUUUUUUCGUUAUUUGCAGAUUAGAGAUUUUGCGUAUUCAAUGGAG